UAGGGAAUCUUCGGCAAUGGGGGCAACCCUGACCGAGCAACGCCGCGUGAGUGAAGAAGGUUUUCGGAUCGUAAAGCUCUGUUGUAAGAGAAGAACGAGUGUGAGAGUGGAAAGUUCACACUGUGACGGUAACUUACCAGAAAGGGACGGCUAACUACGUGCCAGCAGCCGCGGUAAUACGUAGGUCCCGAGCGUUAUCCGGAUUUAUUGGGCGUAAAGCGAGCGCAGGCGGUUAGAUAAGUCUGAAGUUAAAGGCUGUGGCUUAACCAUAGUACGCUUUGGAAACUGUUUAACUUGAGUGCAGAAGGGGAGAGUGGAAUUCCAUGUGUAGCGGUGAAAUGCGUAGAUAUAUGGAGGAACACCGGUGGCGAAAGCGGCUCUCUGGUCUGUAACUGACGCUGAGGCUCGAAAGCGUGGGGAGCAAACAGGAUUAGAUACCCUGGNAGUCCACGCCGUAAACGAUGAGUGCUAGGUGUUGGGUCCUUUCCGGGACUCAGUGCCGCAGCUAACGCAUUAAGCACUCCGCCUGGGGAGUACGACCGCAAGGUUG
Molecule: ribosomal RNA, 550 nt
Filed under: uncultured bacterium
Lineage: Bacteria
Description: bacterial SSU rRNA
Rfam family: Bacterial small subunit ribosomal RNA
Source: RNAcentral